Molecule: ribosomal RNA, 253 nt
Filed under: uncultured bacterium
Lineage: Bacteria
Description: partial 16S ribosomal RNA
Rfam family: Bacterial small subunit ribosomal RNA
Source: RNAcentral
UACGUAGGGUGCAAGCGUUGUCCGGAAUUAUUGGGCGUAAAGAGCUCGUAGGCGGUCUGUCGCGUCGGCUGUGAAAUCCCGAGGCUCAACCUCGGGUCUGCAGUCGAUACGGGCAAACUUGAGUGUUGCAGGGGAGACUGGAAUUCCAGGUGUAGCGGUGAAAUGCGUAGAUAUCUGGAGGAAUACCGGUGGCGAAGGCGGCAUCCUGGACCGGCAUUGACGCUGAGGAGCGAAAGCCAGGGGAGCAAACGGG